CAGUCCAUGGGGUCGCAAAGAGUGGGACACGACUGAGCGACUAACACUUUAACUAACACUUUUCAAGCAAGGAGCGGCGCUGGCUCUUCCUUUAAGGGGCUUGGCCUGUAGAAGGCGGGACCCUGCCCGCCUUGGUCUUUGAUUGGCUCAGCUCUCGCCAGAGCUGCUUCUAGAUUGGUUGGCUCAUGUGUCUCUCCCCUCCCUCCCCGAGGUUUCCGCUUCCUGUUCUCACAGACGCUCCGGCCGUAACGAUGAUCGGGGACAUCCUGCUGUUUGGGACGCUGCUGAUGAACGCCGGGGCGGUGCUCAACUUUAAGCUGAAAAAGAAGGACACGCAGGGCUUUGGGGAGGAGUCGAGGGAGCCCAGCACAGGCAAGGAUACUGGAAUGAGUUGCCAUGCCCUCCUCCAGGGGAUCUUCCCCACCCAGGGAUCAAACCUACGUCUCCUGCGGCUCCUGCAUUGCAGGUGACAACAUCCGGGAGUUCCUGCUGAGCCUCAGAUACUUUCGAAUCUUCAUCGCCCUGUGGAAUGUCUUCAUGAUGUUCUGCAUGAUCGUGCUGUUUGGUUCCUGAGCUCCAGAUGCAGAACCGAGAACACACCUUCUGAGUCUCUCUUCCUCCGUUCCUGACGACUUCAAGAAUGUUUCUGACCAGAAACCGACUGACCUUCCCAGAAAGUCCAAGCUUGUGGUGGGUGGAAAAGAUGUUCGCCAAGAUGCACAUGGUUUCCCAGCCACAUCGCUGUUUUCUUUUCAAAGAUGUUUUCUUUGAUCGCUGCCUUGAAAUGCUAUCUACUUAAGGAGUCUGAGGAGAGUGUAUGUAAAGGGCUGGGAUAAUAUUGCAUUCCCCAAAGAUAAAAGAACCUAUUUAAUCAGAGCAGAAUCUCUCUUCUACCAGGCUUUCCCUGGAAACCCGUUUCUGUGUCUUUCUUGGUUUAUUUUCAAUAACCAUCCUUUUUUGGUUCGAGUUAUACGGAUUUGUAAAAAUCUUUCUUACCAGGGAUCUGAAGCAGAAAGGUUGGCUUUUCGGUUUGAUGCAGCCUCUUAUUGGACUGUGUUUGUGAUGACUGAGCAAGUUCAUUGUUGCUGGGUCAGUGUCCAGAUUCCUUCCCCAUCACAAUGGUUUGUGCUCGGCCACAUGGUACCACUAAGGUUGUCCCAGGACUUAGAGGGUGAAGUAUUAUUGGUUCCCAUGGAAGAGAGGUACAGAACAGUUGGCAGGGUGGAUGGGGGUUUUAUGAGAAACUUUGCCUUGCCUGGAAGCCCUCUAUUAAAGUAACUUUUGGGGACCAUUAAUUGUAGAGUUUUUAGAAUGAGAGUGAUUUAUGUGGUGGUACUGGGAUCCAGUUCUGAAAGCUUGGUUUUGGGGGGUCUGCCUUUUAAGUGGAUGAUUUCAAGAUUGACAAACUAUAAGCCUCAUUUGAGGAAAUACAGCAUUUUGCACAGAAACUUCUUUGAAUCCGAGUCUGAAUUUUAUCACCAACAUGGCUGUCUGGUGGUCAGCACCUGGAUCCUGCAGGUGUUUGAUUUAUUUGUUGUGAUGUGUGAAAUCCAAGCUUGUAGGUAACCUGGUGGGAGGAAAAAAUAAAUAUGCAGGCUUUUAGAACUAAGUAGGAUUGAAAAUAAAGCUCAUUUCUAAAGAGG
Molecule: RNA transcript, 1643 nt
Organism: Bubalus bubalis (water buffalo)
Lineage: Eukaryota; Metazoa; Chordata; Mammalia; Artiodactyla; Bovidae
Gene: SMIM7
Gene name: small integral membrane protein 7
Exons: 6
Source: RefSeq, a predicted model, not a curated record